RNAcentral lists this ribosomal RNA (253 nucleotides) under uncultured bacterium. RNAcentral describes it as "partial 16S ribosomal RNA". It matches the Rfam family "Bacterial small subunit ribosomal RNA", at positions 524 to 776 of the family's 1533-position model. The record is from RNAcentral.
UACGUAGGGUCCGAGCGUUGUCCGGAAUUAUUGGGCGUAAAGGGCUCGUAGGCGGUUUGUCGCGUCGGGAGUGAAAACACGGGGCUUAACCCCGUGCCUGCUUCCGAUACGGGCAGACUAGAGGUAUGCAGGGGAGAACGGAAUUCCUGGUGUAGCGGUGAAAUGCGCAGAUAUCAGGAGGAACACCGGUGGCGAAGGCGGUUCUCUGGGCAUUACCUGACGCUGAGGAGCGAAAGUGUGGGGAGUGAACAGG